Choloepus didactylus (southern two-toed sloth) is the source of this 843-nucleotide long non-coding RNA. RefSeq lists it as uncharacterized. Lineage: Eukaryota; Metazoa; Chordata; Mammalia; Pilosa; Megalonychidae. The record is from RefSeq and is a predicted model, not a curated record. The transcript is spliced from 3 exons.
CAGAAAUCUGUCUUGCUGUCAUUCCUCGUGUCUCUUGUCCCAUACCAUUCCUCCCUCACAGGUAUCAGAGUCUCCGUUGAUCGUCCCGCGGGCGGGGACUUCAGCAUCCCUAUUUCCGAAGGCCAUGAAGAGGAUGGAUUGAGAGGCCCUGGAGUGAAGACAGUCUGGAUGUGCAGAGAAGAGAGAGCCUGGCUGUCCGUGGCAUUCAAACCCAUCUUGCUACAGAAAGCGUAGUUCUCCUUCCUCCUCCAGCAGACCCAAGGCUAUCACCAUUUAAGAAGAUGGAAGAAGACGGAUGCUGUGAUGGGAAAAAUGAAGCAGGAAAAAUAAAAGUUUCAGAGGUCAAUGGGGCUGUGCAGGAAGCAUGGGCUGAAGCUUCCUCAUCGGGGUCUCUGGCUUGGCUCCCAUCCUCUUGCUCAGUUUAGGCUCACAGCACCUACACAUGCUCUCUACUUGUGGCCAACUCACUCUUCUAAGUUAUUUUUUAAAUUAAAGUCUAAUGUAAGUAUGGAGAAUUGCUGAUAUCAGAUGUGCGCAACAUGAUGUAUUCUUACAAAAUGAACACACCCAUGUAACUAGCUCCCAGAUCGAAAUAGAAUCUUACCAGCAUCCUAGAAGCCCCUGUUGUAUCUUUCCCAGUCACUACCUCUACCCUGGUUUCUAAUACAAUACAUUGAUGUUGCCUGCUUUAGAACUUUCUAUCAACAGAAUCCUAGCUUGGAUUCUUUUCAGUCUUCCCUCUGUCAGCAUUAUGCUGAUCAGAUUCAUCUAUCUUUGUGUGUGUCAUUGUAGUUUGUUCAUUCUCUUGGCUGGAUAAAUAAACCACAAGGUAUUUUUCUCUUC